UCUGUCACUUGUUGUUUACACUUGAACAUGCAUCACUGUAGUGAAGAGUCAAUCAUAUAUCAAAGACCACUGAGAAUGUUUUGAAGGUCUAGAGAAUGUUUUGAAGGUCAUUAGUGAAGUAUAUAAUUCAAUUCCAAUCCUGUGCACAGUUAAUGAUAUACCACACUGUUCGGUUUAACACAGCAUAUCCAGACAAAAACAAUUUGUGUUGUGGGAGAAUAUCAGUUUGAGUAGAAGGUAUCACAAGUUUAGUUUUGUACAUAUUGUGUGCCAUUGAUCUGAUCCAUCCAUAUAAUAUAUGAUUAUUGUAGCUGUUAAGUU
Non-coding RNA from Paramuricea clavata, 321 nucleotides. Lineage: Eukaryota; Metazoa; Cnidaria; Anthozoa; Malacalcyonacea; Plexauridae. The record is from the annotation of a GenBank genome assembly.